GGCUCCACCAUGGUGGAGGAGCAGUUUGCGGGCGGAGACCGCGCCCGGGCUUUUGCCCGGGACUUCGCUGCCCACCGCAAGAAGUCGGGGGCUCUGCCAGUGGCCUGGCUUGAACGGACGAUGCGGUCAGUAGGGCUGGAGGUCUACACGCAGAGUUUCUCCCGGAAACUGCCCUUCCCAGAUGAGACCCACGAGCGCUAUAUGGUGUCAGGCACCAAUGUGUACGGCAUCCUGCGGGCCCCGCGUGCUGCCAGCACCGAGUCACUUGUGCUCACCGUGCCCUGUGGCUCUGACUCUACCAACAGCCAGGCUGUGGGGCUGCUGCUGGCACUGGCUGCCCACUUCCGGGGUGAGUCUCAGGGCUGCUGGCCAUGGAGGGCUUUGGUCAGUGCCCCAGACCCUGCUGAUCCUGCUUCUCGUCUCCAGGGCAGAUUUAUUGGGCCAAAGAUAUCAUCUUCCUGGUAACAGAACAUGACCUCCUGGGCACUGAAGCUUGGCUUGAAGCCUACCACGAUGUCAAUGUCACUGACCUUCUGCCAGAAAGGGGGCCUGUUGUGCACGCUUCAGGGCAAGCUGCAGCCCCAGGACUGGACGUCAUUGGACGGACCACUGCAGGGCCUGCAGACACUGCUGCUCAUGGUUCUGCGGCAGGCCUCUGGCCGUCCCCACGGCUCCCAUGGCCUCUUCCUGCGCUACCGUGUGGAGGCCCUAACCCUGCGUGGCAUCAAUAGCUUCCGCCAGUACAAGUAUGACCUGGUGGCAGUGGGCAAGGCUUUGGAGGGCAUGUUCCGCAAGCUCAACCACCUCCUGGAGCGCCUGCACCAGUCCUUCUUCCUCUACUUGC
RNAcentral lists this small RNA (844 nucleotides) under Pongo abelii (Sumatran orangutan). RNAcentral's name for it is "processed transcript". Lineage: Eukaryota; Metazoa; Chordata; Mammalia; Primates; Hominidae. The record is from RNAcentral.